Molecule: ribosomal RNA, 425 nt
Filed under: uncultured bacterium
Lineage: Bacteria
Description: partial 16S ribosomal RNA
Rfam family: Bacterial small subunit ribosomal RNA
Source: RNAcentral
GUGGGGAAUAUUGGGCAAUGGGCGAAAGCCUGACCCAGCAACGCCGCGUGAAGGAAGAAGGUCUUCGGAUCGUAAACUUCUAUCCUUGGUGAAGAUAAUGACGGUAGCCGAGAAGGAAGCCCCGGCUAACUACGUGCCAGCAGCCGCGGUAAUACGUAGGGGGCAAGCGUUGUCCGGAAUGAUUGGGCGUAAAGGGCGCGUAGGCGGCCUGGUAAGUCUGGAGUGAAAGUCCUGCUUUUAAGGUGGGAAUUGCUUUGGAUACUGUCGGGCUUGAGUGCAGGAGAGGUAAGUGGAAUUCCCGGUGUAGCGGUGAAAUGCGUAGAUAUACGGAGGAACACCAGUGGCGAAGGCGGCCUGCUGGACAUUAACUGACGCUGAGGCGCGAAAGCGUGGGGAGCAAACAGGAUUAGAAACCCGUGUAGUCC